UUGACGGAGAGUUUGAUCCUGGCUCAGGACGAACGCUGGCGGCGUGCUUAACACAUGCAAGUCGAACGGGAUCCAUGCAGUAGCAAUACUGCGGAAGAUCUAGUGGCGAACGGGUGAGGAACACGUGAAGAACCUGCCCUGGACUCUGGGAUAACAGUUGGAAACGACUGCUAAUACCGGAUGUCGUUGUUGGAGUCGCAUGGCUCUACAACGAAAGUUUUUCGGUUCAGGAGGGCUUCGCGGCCUAUCAGCUAGUUGGUGAGGUAAAGGCUCACCAAGGCAUCGACGGGUAGCUGGUCUGAGAGGAUGAUCAGCCACACUGGGACUGAGACACGGCCCAGACUCCUACGGGAGGCAGCAGUGGGGAAUCUUGCGCAAUGGGCGAAAGCCUGACG
Molecule: ribosomal RNA, 395 nt
Filed under: Ilumatobacteraceae bacterium
Lineage: Bacteria; Bacillati; Actinomycetota; Acidimicrobiia; Acidimicrobiales; Ilumatobacteraceae
Description: bacterial SSU rRNA
Rfam family: Bacterial small subunit ribosomal RNA
Source: RNAcentral